Molecule: transfer RNA, 73 nt
Filed under: Alphaproteobacteria bacterium
Lineage: Bacteria; Pseudomonadati; Pseudomonadota; Alphaproteobacteria
Description: tRNA-Arg
Rfam family: tRNA
About the family: Transfer RNA (tRNA) molecules are approximately 80 nucleotides in length. Their secondary structure includes four short double-helical elements and three loops (D, anti-codon, and T loops).
Source: RNAcentral
GGUCCCGUCUCGGCGGGAGAGCACCGGCCUUCUAAGCCGAUGGUCGCAGGUUCGAAUCCUGCCGGGAUCGCCA